Molecule: long non-coding RNA, 1730 nt
Organism: Strigops habroptila (Kakapo)
Lineage: Eukaryota; Metazoa; Chordata; Aves; Psittaciformes; Psittacidae
Source: Ensembl
GCUGCUGUUCCAGCAGAUGCCAGUAUGGUGGGUGUUUAAAUGGAAGUAGGGAUGUACUGGCAGCUUGCUGGGAAAUCAAGAGCACUUGCUAAUUGAUGUAGAAGGGAGCACACUGCAGCCGCUUCUGUCUCAAAUGCCAGACUGUGAUCUGUGGAGACCACAUCUCCCAACAUGGGUGGUUCCUCUUAGCCGGGAUGUGGUUGGUGCCACAGACCCGUAGUCCACCAAACACAGCUCCAGCCUGAAGAUGUGAAUAGUCACUGGAUGCCUUUAGCUUGGGUGCCCCUUGCACCUAAAUUCCUUGUGCUUUAUUGUCACGCUGUCGGUGUUUGUGAAUUUUGGCACUGUGGUUGAAAGUUCCCCUACAUGGCAGGGUAGGAAAUGAUUAUCCUGUCGUAUACUCAAGAGCUGCUGCUUUGUUGGAGAGGUUUGUUGGCACAUGGGUACCAUGUGCAUUUCUUCCUGCAAGUACAGAGGGCUCAGUUGCAGAGGUUUAUGUCUUUCUCUUUGUCCUGCUCAGCUCUUCACACACUGCGUGAGAACUAACAACGUGAAGGUAAAAACAGGGGCUGUGCUCUUCAAGUGUUAGUAUCAGAGCAGAAGCUUAGUGCUCAGGUAGAACUAAAUCAGCCAACUUUUUAGCCCCAGGCUAAUGAGGAAGCCUUGAAAGUGAAGCCAGGAGGACUGAUGCAUGGUGAUCACAAAAUUAAGUAAUCACAAAAUUCUCACACCUCAUAGGGAGAAAUGCUCCAGACCCAAAUACCUGGGGCUUCACACCAUUGUCAUGCCUAAGAGAGGCUCUGCGUGAGGCAGAACAAAAAUACAGCUGCUCUGUGCACCCACUCCCACAGCUGCAGCUAGCUGCAAAUAUUCACUGUUUGCAGACAAAAAGCUUGAUAGAGGAAUAUGGACAGUGUUAAUAGUCUUGGUUCAUUUGAACGUGGAUACAGAAGUCACACUGAUGGCCACUGACCAUCAGUCGAAUCCUGAAGUUGUUCACAUCUACAGGAAAGGAAAGGAGCAUGAGAGCUGUGGCAGGGUGGCUAGGAGAACAGGCUACUCCUUGGACAGCUGAACAGCAAAAUGUCUAGGAAUGGGUGACAGGAAUUACCUCUUUACAUGACAGUCUCAGUGUUGCCUGUGCUAAGAAUUCAUCCGGCUCAGUGCUGACUGUUUCCACUGAUGUUGUUCAGGUAAGAAGCACAGCUUCUGCUCUACAAACAUGCCCUCAUCUUUGCAGAGAAGCAUGGGGAGCAUUUAGUCACACAAUAGAAGUAGGGGAAGGAGAGGAAAGUGUGACCACUUCUUCAGGUGGCACUUCAUGUCAAAUUGACUUGGGGGGAGGGUCAAGCUACCACCUAAAUAUGCCUUGUGUGUUCAGAAGCUAGAAAACAGAAUAAAGCCAAAGACAGAUUCUUUCCAGAAAUAUAAACUGUACUGGCACUUGUAUUAGUUUGUUGGGGGACUGUUCGUUUAAGAGUGCUCAGAUGGUAAGACUGGAAUGUGAAGCCUUUACCAGAUGCUCCACCCAGGUUUAGAUGCACAUGCCAAACAUGACCUUGAAAGAGCUUGGAGAGAGGGUACAGGACUAUUAACAGGGUUAGCAAACCUGCCUUAGCACAGGAGGCCAAUAAAGCACAAUCAAUGUAUUUGUUCAAAAGGAGGUUUAGAGUUUUCCGUGGCCCAGCAUCUGUUGUUGGUGUGUGGCUGCUUCCUUGCUUCACUGCAAA